RNAcentral lists this ribosomal RNA (253 nucleotides) under uncultured bacterium. RNAcentral describes it as "partial 16S ribosomal RNA". It matches the Rfam family "Bacterial small subunit ribosomal RNA", at positions 524 to 776 of the family's 1533-position model. The record is from RNAcentral.
UACGUAGGGGGCUAGCGUUGUCCGGAAUCAUUGGGCGUAAAGCGCGCGUAGGCGGCCCGGUAAGUCCGCUGUAAAAGUCCAGGGCUCAACCCUGGAAAGCCGGUGGAUACUGUCGGGCUCGAGUCCGGAAGAGGCGAGUGGAAUUCCUGGUGUAGCGGUGGAAUGCGCAGAUAUCAGGAGGAACACCAAUGGCGAAGGCAGCUCGCUGGGACGGUACUGACGCUAAGGCGCGAAAGCGUGGGUAGCAAACAGG